This is a long non-coding RNA of Anguilla rostrata (American eel), 2355 nucleotides long. RefSeq lists it as uncharacterized. Lineage: Eukaryota; Metazoa; Chordata; Actinopteri; Anguilliformes; Anguillidae. The transcript has 2 exons. The record is from RefSeq and is a predicted model, not a curated record.
AAAUCCAUUGAUAGAAGCGGUUUUCUUUUUCUUUUUUUCAAAUUAAUUUUUAAGCGUCUCGCAACUGUAGCGGUGGAAAAAAUAAAGUAAUGUAGCUUGCUCAGUGACUAUACAACUGGAGAUUCCCUUUGAAACUGGGUUGAUCUUGGAAGGAUUCAUUCCGUUUCUCAAUGGAACUCUCAAUUUUCUACUUCACUGUGGUUUUCACCGUCACCUUUCUCCUUGGUAUUGUUAUCAUUCUUCUCUCUCAGAACUGUUUCCGUUUCCCACUGCACUAAUAAAACCACCAUCAAAAUCAGGCAGAAUGUCACAUACAGGAUCUUUGCAGUUGUUGUAUUCCGUGUACAUGCAUACCUUCAAUGUUGGAUCACAACAUGUUGCUUCAGCGAGGGACUCCAACUCAGUGCUUUUAAUACGUUUAUGAAGCCUCUCAGUAACACAUUACAAAUGUUCAUGCACUUUGCAGAGGUAUGUUUCUCUGUUGGAAAUGGUCAGGUGGACAACACAGAAUGGAUGCAUUUGGCAGGAAUGGGAAGUAUUGAAGUUUGCUUGAUCAAUUUUCCAGCAGAAAUCUCCUGUGGACAUUUUUCAUAGUGUCAUUAAAAAAUAAAAACGCUCCUGCAUUUUGUGCUUCCCUUUAGUUUGGGUAUGGUUUUUUUUUCUUUCCUGCAGUUAAAUGGCUUGUGUCAUGUCUUGUAAAACAAGGCAACAACUCUCUCAUAAAAUCUACAUUGUUAGGGAUCCAAACAGCAAAGCUGCUGGAACCUUAUUGUUUUUAUGUUAGGUCUAUUAUUAUUAUUGUUAUUAUUAUUAUUCCCUAAAACAGAAUGGGGAGCAAAAACUGUGAAUUGUAGAGCUAUGAAACUUGGCAGGCAUGUUCUUCUGCCCCCCACCCCCACUGCUCAGUUUAUCGUAAUGACGCCUAGUGGACAGAUGGUGGUAAUGUAACGAAUGUAACGCGUUACUACUGAACUGUGUGGUCUAAAAUUUAAAUUAUUUUUUUCUCCAGAUUCCUUGGCUCAUGCUAAACAGUAUGUGUAUUGCUGAUUUAAUGUCCAUCAUGUUGAAUUUUCUGCCAUUUAGCUUCUUUUUUUUUUCUUUUUUUUUUUGCAAAAGGUACUUUUGCAAAUUAGUCUGGGGCCAUUUGGUCCAUCAUCACUACAUUAGUCUUGAAAUAAUGUAUGCAGUCUAUGUAGCCUAUGGAGUCUAAUUAAAAAAUUAUCAAAAAAUGUGGAUUUUUCUGAACAAUAUGGCUGCCACACGUAAAUCAAUUGUUAUGGGUGUGGCCAUUUUUUACUAACACAGCUGUAACUCAUGAACAUUAUGUCCUCACCAAACUCGCUACUCCAAUGCAAAAUGUGCUUCAGAGGCAGCCUACAGGAUUUGGCACAUCUCUGCCAAUAGGUGGUGCAAUGAGAAACAAAUCAUUUUAAAUACCUGAAACUCUUCAACUGUUUGAACAAUCAGGUUUGCAUCCUACAUCUCUGUGCAAGGCUCCAACAGUGUUUACAAUCAUCAAAACUAUCUUUAAAAACAUUACCACCAUCAGCCAAUCAGAUAUCAUCAGCCAUUUGACAGGCUUGGGAUCAGUCAGCCAUUGGGGGGUGCUAUAGCAAACAUGCAGGUUUUAAAAGAGCAUAUCCAUGCCUAUGGCUAAUGGAAAAUCAUAUAAUUUACAUCAGUAGAUCCUACUCCUUCAGAUGAACAACUUUGCCCAAGAACCAACAUCGGCAACCAUUUAGAUUUUUCUUCAUAUAGAGGGUGGGUCCCAAUACCCUAAAAAUGUAUCCUCCUUUCUUCCACUACCACCUUGUCUCCUCUGUGCUCAUCUCCUCCCUCUAUUGUCCCAAUAUUGGAAGAGAUGAGCUAAGUGGCUUCAAACCCUGAUCCUCGCUUCCUCCAGCAAAGGAUACAUCAAUGUAUGCUACCACAGAACUAAUUUCUGGGUGACAUGAUCAUGCUCACGCCUACUGAGGAUGAAAGAUCAUCACAAAGAAUCUGACAUUAUCCAAAUUCAAGAAAGUGGAGAUGGCGAAUAGCUUGAAUUUCCCCAGUUAUGCAAAAUAUUUUGCUAUGUCUGUGUGUGGUUCCGUAGUUCCUUAUUACAUAUGUUGCCUUCAAGUAAAUGUCAGUUUGUUGUUGUGGCUUAUAUCUUUGGCUAUUUAAGACAGGCAAGCAAAUUUAUUUAUUUUCAUCUACAUUAAUGCUGCUAAAAACAAACAUGUCUCUGAACAUAAAUAAGCAUGACCACUACCAUUAUUUCAGUAUGUGAAUAUGCAUGAAUGAAUGUAUUCAACCAGCCGUUUCCAAUGGACAUAUUUAUUACCAACAAAUUAAAUUUCAUUUGAUUUCAUA